Molecule: ribosomal RNA, 379 nt
Filed under: uncultured eukaryote
Lineage: Eukaryota
Description: partial 18S ribosomal RNA
Rfam family: Eukaryotic small subunit ribosomal RNA
Source: RNAcentral
CAAUAGCGUAUAUUAAAGUUGUUGCGGUUAAAAAGCUCGUAGUUGGAUUUCUGCUGAGAACGACCGGUCCGCCCUUUGGGUGUGUAUCUGGCUCUUUCUUGGCAUCUUCUUGGUGAACGUUGCUGCACUUGACUGUGUGGAGCGCUACCCAGGACUUUUACUUUGAGGAAAUUAGAGUGUUUCAAGCAGGCAUACGCCUUGAAUACAUUAGCAUGGAAUAAUAAGAUAGGACCUCGGUUCUAUUUUGUUGGUUUCUAGAGCUGAGGUAAUGAUUAAUAGGGAUAGUUGGGGGCAUUCGUAUUUAACUGUCAGAGGUGAAAUUCUUGGAUUUGUUAAAGACAGACUACUGCGAAAGCAUUUGCCAAGGAUGUUUUCAUUG